This 484-nucleotide ribosomal RNA is filed under the name uncultured bacterium. RNAcentral describes it as "partial 16S ribosomal RNA". It matches the Rfam family "Bacterial small subunit ribosomal RNA", at positions 29 to 523 of the family's 1533-position model. The record is from RNAcentral.
AGUGAACGCUGGCGGCGUGCUUAACACAUGCAAGUCGAACGAGAACGGAUUAUAGCUUGCUAUAAUUGACAGCUAAGUGGCGCACGGGUGAGUAAUGUAUAGGUAAUAUGCCUCUUACUAAGGGAUAACAAAUGGAAACGUUUGCUAAUACCUUAUACUCCUUAUUAACAGAAGUUAAUAAGGGAAAGAUUUAUUGGUAAGAGAUUAGCCUGUAUUGUAUCAGUUAGUUGGUGAGGUAAUGGCUUACCAAGACUAUGACACAUAACUGGUUUGAGAGGAUGAUCAGUCACACUGGAACGGGGACACGGUCCAGACUCCUACGGGAGGCAGCAGUGGGGAAUAUUGCACAAUGGACGAAAGUCUGAUGCAGCAACGCCGCGUGGAGGAUGACACAUUUCGGUGCGUAAACUCCUUUUAUAUGAGAAGAUAAUGACGGUAUUAUAUGAAUAAGCACCGGCUAACUCCGUGCCAGCAGCCGCCGUAA